Marmota flaviventris (yellow-bellied marmot) is the source of this 680-nucleotide non-coding RNA. Lineage: Eukaryota; Metazoa; Chordata; Mammalia; Rodentia; Sciuridae. The record is from RefSeq and is a predicted model, not a curated record.
UAUGCGGAGCUGAGGAUGGAACCUGGGCCGUACUCAUGCCAGGAGGCUUCUUGCUUACCAGUUCCUGUGUGCCAAGGCCUGAUCCACCAGCUAUAUACAGCCCUAGUCCAGAGCAAACCUCCGAUGUUUUCAUCAUUGAUUGGGCUGCAGCCAUACCAUCUGAUAGACCUGACUUCAUCAUAAGGAAGGAGAACCUUUUACAAGGAUGUUCUUUCUUUGAGUACUCAUUCUCAGUCCUAGGGUACUGUCUUUCAGUAUAAUAGAAUUCUCUGUUAUCCUCUCUUAUUUAAUUCCAUUAUCACUCAAAUUAAUAAUAUGCUUGUGUCUUCUGACUAAUAUGAGAGUUAAUGUCAUUUCUACUAUUUUCUAUUUGAAGGUUUUUAAAAGAGUUAUACAAGUUUUUGAUCACCCAUUAUAUGUUUUACAUAAAAACAAAUGACUAUUUUUCUUUGUCUAGUUCUUGUACAGAGGAGUCCAAAUUUAUGACAUCAGUCAUGAUUAUAUUGUAUGUUUUACUAAUACACUGAGAUAUUUACAGUAAUAAUCUACAAUCUUAAGAAUAUGCAUAUUACUUCCAAAUAUGUUGACUAAUUUUUCAAGAGAAUACUGGUGAAUACUUGCACAAUGUGAUUUGCUAUAGAAUUUUUAUAAGCUAAUAAAAUGCUUUAAUAACAAAUCAA